This is a long non-coding RNA of Prunus persica (peach), 1762 nucleotides long. RefSeq lists it as uncharacterized. Lineage: Eukaryota; Viridiplantae; Streptophyta; Magnoliopsida; Rosales; Rosaceae. The transcript has 4 exons. The record is from RefSeq and is a predicted model, not a curated record.
GGCGGUGCUAGGCGGGUCUAGGAAGCGCUAGGCGGGUCUGGGUGCCGGGGUGGGUCUGGUUCUUUUCUUUUGUUCUUUAAGCCUACUGCCUAGCGAUUUUUCAAACUCAUGCACUGCAAGGCAGGUCUGGGCGGCGCUGGGAGGGUCUGGGCGGCGCUGGGAGGGUCUGGUCGACGCUAGGCGGGUCUGGGCAGCGCUAGGCGGGUCUGGCCGGCUCUAGGCGGGUCUAGGCGGCGCUAGGCGAGUUUGGGUGCCAGGGUGGGUCUGGUUCUUUUCUUUUGUUCUUUAAGCCUACUGCCUAACGAUUUUUCAAACUCAUGCACUGCAGGGCAGGUCUAGGCGGCGCUAGGAGGGUCUGGGCGGUGCUAGGUGGUUCUGGAUGGCGCUGAGCGGUUCUGGGCGGCGCUAGGCGGGUCUAGGAGGUGCUAAGGGGGUCUGGGUGCCAGGGACGUGGGUUUGGUUUUUUUCUUUUGUUCUUUAAGCCUACUGCCUAGCGAUUUUUCAAACUCAUGCACUGCACAGCAGGUCUAGGCGGCGAUGGGAGGAUCUGGGCGGCGCUGGGAGGGUCUGGGCGGCGCUAGACGGGUCUGGCGGCGCUAGGCGGGUCUAGGCGGCGCUAGGCGGGUCUGGCGGCGCUAGGCGGGUCUAGGCGGCGCUAGGCAGGUCUGGGUGCCAGGGUUUGUCUGGUUCUUUAGGGUUUAGGGUCUGGGUGCCAGGGUCUGGUUAUUUUCUUUUGUUCUUUUAGCCUACUGCCUAGCGAUUUUUCAAACUUCAUCUAUCUUUGCUAAUUGUUCGCACAAGUCUCAUUUUUACAUCUAUCUUUGCAUCUAUCUCAAACUCCAUUAGUAAUCUGUCACAUUUUUUUCUAGGUACGUGUGCCAUUUUCUUCUUUGAAGCCAAUAUUUCGAGUAAUAACUGUAUCAGAUGCACCACCUUUUGACCCCAGCAAUAUUGUGUCAUUGCAGGCACAUUUCUGCAGCCACUUUCUUUUAGUCUAUUCCUUAACUUCAUUUUCUUCUAUGUUUAUUGAUGGGAUUCAAAAUUAUGGCAGAUCAUGUUCAGAAAGUUUGAAUUUGAUGGGAAACUAAAUCCUACUUUUGUGGAAGGGGCAUUUAAGCUCCCAUUAUCAAGCAUACGAGCGUAUCUAAAAGAGCCUAUUACUCCCAGGUUCGUACACCUAGGUUCUGCAGGAGUUACCCGACCUGACAGGCCUGGAUUUGAUCCAAGUAAACAACCUCCUGCUAUUCACUUAAACAAGGAAUUGGAUUUUAUACUGACAUGCAAGUUGAAGAUUUAGCUCUUUCGAUUUUGUACAUUGAUAAGUUUUGGAGAAGGGGGAGGACUUAAUACGGGAAAUGGAAUACCAUAUACAAUUGUGAGGCCUUGUGCAUUAACUGAGGAGCCUGCCGGAGCAGAUCUCAUUUUCUACCAGGGAGACAAUAUAAUGGGUCAGAUAUCAAGAGAGGAGGUUGCUCAGAUUUGUGUUGCUGUUGUAGUGCUUAAUGGAACUGCUUGAACUAUUGAAUAUCUUGCAGGUCAGGGAAAACUGUUAACCUCCCAAUUUGAUCUUAAAAGCAUACAAAAAAACUCCAAUACGCGUGCAAGUUGGUAAUUGAAAGGUUUCCUAUUUUAAUGUUCUUUCUAAGUCUGGUCAUGUUCCAUUUCCAUGUUGUGUUAUUUAAUAAAUUUGGGCCUUGCUGGAAAACCAGUAAUGUUUCAACUCUAUUGAUGCAAUAAACAGAAAACAAUUCGGCUUACGAAA